AGUGAACGCUGGCGGUAGGCCUAACACAUGCAAGUCGAACGGCAGCACAGUAAGAGCUUGCUCUUACGGGUGGCGAGUGGCGGACGGGUGAGGAAUACAUCGGAAUCUACUUUUUCGUGGGGGAUAACGUAGGGAAACUUACGCUAAUACCGCAUACGACCUACGGGUGAAAGCAGGGGAUCUUCGGACCUUGCGCGAUUGAAUGAGCCGAUGUCGGAUUAGCUAGUUGGCGGGGUAAAGGCCCACCAAGGCGACGAUCCGUAGCUGGUCUGAGAGGAUGAUCAGCCACACUGGAACUGAGACACGGUCCAGACUACUACGGGAGGCAGCAGUGGGGAAUAUUGGACAAUGGGCGCAAGCCUGAUCCAGCCAUACCGCGUGGGUGAAGAAGGCCUUCGGGUUGUAAAGCCCUUUUGUUGGGAAAGAAAAGCAGCAGGCUAAUACCCCGCUGUUCUGACGGUACCCAAAGAAUAAGCACCGGCUAACUUCGUG
This 492-nucleotide ribosomal RNA is filed under the name uncultured bacterium. Its description in RNAcentral is "partial 16S ribosomal RNA". It matches the Rfam family "Bacterial small subunit ribosomal RNA", at positions 29 to 507 of the family's 1533-position model. The record is from RNAcentral.